UAGCCUGUCUUUGGCAGACCCUUUAGACUUU
Molecule: non-coding RNA, 31 nt
Filed under: Rattus norvegicus (Norway rat)
Lineage: Eukaryota; Metazoa; Chordata; Mammalia; Rodentia; Muridae
Source: RNAcentral